This 401-nucleotide ribosomal RNA is filed under the name uncultured marine eukaryote. RNAcentral's name for it is "bacterial SSU rRNA". It matches the Rfam family "Eukaryotic small subunit ribosomal RNA", at positions 618 to 1016 of the family's 1831-position model. The record is from RNAcentral.
GUUAAAAAGCUCGUAGUUGGAUUUGUGGGCGCGCGGACCGGCCGUGGCCUUUAGUGUCGUGUGCCUGGUUCGUCGCGCUUAUUUUGGCCAAGCAGCUCUGUUGGCAUUAGUUUGUCGACGUGUCUUGCCAGGUCGAGCUUACUUUGAGAAAAUUAGAGUGUUCAAAACAGUCAAUCGAUUGUAUAUCAUAGCAUGGAAUAAUAACUGAUGACCUCGGUCACCUUUUGUUGGGUUCAGAUGGCUGAGUUAAUGAUUGAUAGGGUUAGUCGGAGGUAUUAGUAUUCUGUCGUUAGAGGUGAAAUUCAUGGAUCGGCAGAAGACUGACAACUGCGAAAGCAUUUAUCUAGGAUUUGCUCUUUGAUCAAGAACGAAAGUUGGGGGAUCGAAGACGAUCAGAUACC